AGCGAACGCUGGCGGCAGGCUUAACACAUGCAAGUCGAGCGGGCACUUUCGGGUGUUAGCGGCGGACGGGUGAGUAACGCGUGGGAACGUGCCCUCUGGUUCGGAAUAACUCAGGGAAACUUGAGCUAAUACCGGAUACGCCCUUUUGGGGAAAGGCUUGCUGCCGGAGGAUCGGCCCGCGUCUGAUUAGCUAGUUGGUGAGGUAACGGCUCACCAAGGCGACGAUCAGUAGCUGGUCUGAGAGGAUGAUCAGCCACACUGGGACUGGGACACGGCCCAGACUCCUACGGGAGGCAGCAGUGGGGAAUAUUGGACAAUGGGCGCAAGCCUGAUCCAGCCAUGCCGCGUGAGUGAUGAAGGCCUUAGGGUUGUAAAGCUCUUUUAUCCGGGACGAUAAUGACGGUACCGGAGGAAUAAGCCCCGGCUAACUUCGUG
This 435-nucleotide ribosomal RNA is filed under the name uncultured bacterium. Its description in RNAcentral is "partial 16S ribosomal RNA". It matches the Rfam family "Bacterial small subunit ribosomal RNA", at positions 29 to 507 of the family's 1533-position model. The record is from RNAcentral.